AUUUCCUCCAAAAUUCUGUCUGCGCAAUCCGCCCGAAAAUCUCCAAUUCUCCUCCCUCCGCCACUGUCUACUCCACCUCCUUCCUCUGACAGUACCUUCUCCAUCCGUCGCCGUCUACUCCUUCUUCCUCCGUCACCGUCUACUCCUUAGCUUUCCUCCGACAGCACCUCCUUCUCCCUCCGCCGCCGUCUACUCCUCCACUUUCCUGUUGGUUGUCAGGUUGGUGCUGGGGCAUCCAAGAAGAGUCGACCAACUACAGGAGAGGCUAUCGUUGGUUUCUGAGGACCACCUCAAAAUAUUAGUUCCUGGAUCUCACUUUUGCGUGUGUUGUCAGACAAGGAUGCAAUAGCAAAGUGUUUGAGCUCUUCAAUGGAGGGGGAGUAGUUGUUCUUGCUUGUGUUAAAGUCAAGUCUGAAUUAAUUGUUGAAGGGAGGCGAGCAACUGGUGGGUCUCCUCUUAUAAAAAAAAAAAUGAUUAAUCAGGUUGCGUAACAUCGAGCCUGGGGUGAUAGGUCUCCUCUUAUAGCCACGGUGAAGAGAUGUCAUUCGCAACUUAUUUACGAUGGAUUCUGUUGUUCUUUGAUGUAUAUAUAAAACUGUGUGAUUGUAAGCAUCAUGCAUGUAUUAUUGAAACAUGCAUGUCCACCUGAAGAAAGCUGCCUAUUCAUCCAACUUCAGGCUGAGGUUUAUGGCAAAGGCUACUGUUUGUCUUGUACACAAGGCAUUUUCAACGUUUGAGUUAUUCUUAUUUAAUAAAAAAUGAUGCAUCUCUUCUGGAGAUGAUAGCUUGUCGUUCA
This is a long non-coding RNA of Zingiber officinale, 796 nucleotides long. RefSeq lists it as uncharacterized. Lineage: Eukaryota; Viridiplantae; Streptophyta; Magnoliopsida; Zingiberales; Zingiberaceae. The record is from RefSeq and is a predicted model, not a curated record. The transcript is spliced from 3 exons.